UGGGAUAUAGUUCAGCAGGUAGAACAACGGUUUUUGAUAUCGCAGGUCGGUGGUUCGAGUCCAUCUAUCCCAG
RNAcentral lists this transfer RNA (73 nucleotides) under Rickettsia sp. It matches the Rfam family "tRNA". From Rfam's summary of the family: Transfer RNA (tRNA) molecules are approximately 80 nucleotides in length. Their secondary structure includes four short double-helical elements and three loops (D, anti-codon, and T loops). Further hydrogen bonds mediate the characteristic L-shaped molecular structure. tRNAs have two regions of fundamental functional importance: the anti-codon, which is responsible for specific mRNA codon recognition, and the 3' end, to which the tRNAs corresponding amino acid is attached (by aminoacyl-tRNA synthetases). tRNAs cope with the degeneracy of the genetic code in two manners: having more than one tRNA (with a specific anti-codon) for a particular amino acid; and 'wobble' base-pairing, i.e. permitting non-standard base-pairing at the 3rd anti-codon position. Lineage: Bacteria; Pseudomonadati; Pseudomonadota; Alphaproteobacteria; Rickettsiales; Rickettsiaceae. The record is from Rfam by way of RNAcentral.